UACAGAGGGUGCAAGCGUUGCUCGGAUUUACUGGGCGUAAAGCGUACGCAGACGGUUUGGUAGGUCGGGUGUGAAAGCCCAGGGCUCAACCCUGGAAAUGCACUCGAAACCACCUCACUUGAGUAUAGGAGAGGGAAGCGGAAUUCCUGGUGUAGAGGUGAAAUUCGUAGAUAUCAGGAGGAACACCGGUGGCGAAGGCGGCGCGCUGGACCUUAACUGACGCUGAGGCGCGAAAGCCAGGGGAGCGAACGGG
Molecule: ribosomal RNA, 253 nt
Filed under: uncultured prokaryote
Description: partial 16S ribosomal RNA
Rfam family: Bacterial small subunit ribosomal RNA
Source: RNAcentral